Molecule: ribosomal RNA, 425 nt
Filed under: uncultured prokaryote
Description: bacterial SSU rRNA
Rfam family: Bacterial small subunit ribosomal RNA
Source: RNAcentral
UGGGGAAUCAUGGUCAAUGGGCGAAAGCCUGAACCUGCGACGCCGCGUGAGUGAUGAAGGUCGUAAGAUCGUAAAACUCUUUUCAGGGAUCUUAAAGCCUGUCUGUCAACAACAGGCAGGUCUGACUCUCCCUGGAAGAAGCCCCAGCCAACUCCGUGCCAGCAGCCGCGGUAAUACGGAGGGUGCAAGCGUUAUUCGGAAUUACUGGGCGUAAAGCGCGUGUAGGCGGUCCUGCAAGUCUGAUGUGAAAGCCCCGGGCUUAACCCGGGAAGUGCAUUGGAAACUGUGGGACUUGAGGACUGGAGAGGAUGGGGGAAUUCCCGGUGUAGAGGUGAAAUUCGUAGAGAUCGGGAGGAAUAUCAGUGGCGAAGGCGCCCAUCUGGACGGUAACUGACGCUGAGACACGAAAGCGUGGGGAGCAAACA